CACGUACAAAUUUUACCUUUUGUCUCGAAAACAGCGAAAACUUGUCAGUCGUCGACUCCGCCAUGGCGACGUUGGAAGAUGAGGCAAAUUUCCCUUUUAUGUGAAGUGAACGCCUCGCCUCUUGAAAUUGGUCAUCAUUACAGUAUCAGGGCCAGUAGCUACGAGGAUGCUUGUGAAUGGUAUUUGGUGCAUACAGAAGCAAAAGUCUCUCUCGCUUUUGUGCAAAUGGUUCCUGAUAGUCAUUGAUCACCUUGAUUUAUUGGUGUCCCAAUUAUUUUGUCACAAUUUGUUACUUGCUAUUACAGUGAAGAAGAGGCCAGAAUGAAGAUCUAUUUAGGUUUAGUAGGGCGCUAGUUCAUUAUAUUUAGAGUUCUUUUAUCUAAUGAGCUUACUUCCGAACUCCGUGAUCUGGCUGCAGUUCAAUUGGUUACUACUCAUUUUUACCUGGGUCCCAAAAAUAAUGGAGG
Eucalyptus grandis is the source of this 467-nucleotide long non-coding RNA. RefSeq lists it as uncharacterized. The transcript is spliced from 3 exons. The record is from RefSeq and is a predicted model, not a curated record. Lineage: Eukaryota; Viridiplantae; Streptophyta; Magnoliopsida; Myrtales; Myrtaceae.